Molecule: non-coding RNA, 148 nt
Filed under: Gorilla gorilla gorilla (western lowland gorilla)
Lineage: Eukaryota; Metazoa; Chordata; Mammalia; Primates; Hominidae
Source: Rfam by way of RNAcentral
GCUGGGUGUGGUGGCGUGUGCCUGUAGUCUCAGCUACUUGGGAGGCUGAGGCACAGGAAUCGCUUGAACCCAGGAGGCAGAGGUUGCAGUGAGCCGAGAUUGUGCCACUGCACUCCAGCCUGGGUGACAAAGUGAGACUCUGUCUCAA